Molecule: ribosomal RNA, 761 nt
Filed under: Acinetobacter calcoaceticus
Lineage: Bacteria; Pseudomonadati; Pseudomonadota; Gammaproteobacteria; Moraxellales; Moraxellaceae
Description: bacterial SSU rRNA
Rfam family: Bacterial small subunit ribosomal RNA
Source: RNAcentral
GAUCUUAGCGGCGGACGGGUGAGUAAUGCUUAGGAAUCUGCCUAUUAGUGGGGGACAACAUUUCGAAAGGAAUGCUAAUACCGCAUACGUCCUACGGGAGAAAGCAGGGGAUCUUCGGACCUUGCGCUAAUAGAUGAGCCUAAGUCGGAUUAGCUAGUUGGUGGGGUAAAGGCCUACCAAGGCGACGAUCUGUAGCGGGUCUGAGAGGAUGAUCCGCCACACUGGGACUGAGACACGGCCCAGACUCCUACGGGAGGCAGCAGUGGGGAAUAUUGGACAAUGGGCGCAAGCCUGAUCCAGCCAUGCCGCGUGUGUGAAGAAGGCCUUAUGGUUGUAAAGCACUUUAAGCGAGGAGGAGGCUACUUUAGAUAAUACCUAGAGAUAGUGGACGUUACUCGCAGAAUAAGCACCGGCUAACUCUGUGCCAGCAGCCGCGGUAAUACAGAGGGUGCAAGCGUUAAUCGGAUUUACUGGGCGUAAAGCGCGCGUAGGCGGCUAAUUAAGUCAAAUGUGAAAUCCCCGAGCUUAACUUGGGAAUUGCAUUCGAUACUGGUUAGCUAGAGUGUGGGAGAGGAUGGUAGAAUUCCAGGUGUAGCGGUGAAAUGCGUAGAGAUCUGGAGGAAUACCGAUGGCGAAGGCAGCCAUCUGGCCUAACACUGACGCUGAGGUGCGAAAGCAUGGGGAGCAAACAGGAUUAGAUACCUGGUAGUCCAUGCCGUAACGAUGUCUACUAGCCGUGGGGCCUUUGAGGCUUUAGUGGC